CCCUGUGUGGAUCAUCGUUGGAGGGUGAAUACUUGGGCACCUGGUGGAGAUUCUGUCAGAAUUUGGAUCAAGCGCUGCAGAUAUUCUUCUAUAGUUUAAAUUUUAUUUUGAACAUAUGAUAUAUAUAAUUAUUAAUCAUCAAGGAGAUACUAGUUUAUAGGUUUAAUAUUUAAGAUUUUUUAAUUUAAAUUUUUAAAAUCCGUUAUGCCU
This 210-nucleotide long non-coding RNA is filed under the name Elaeis guineensis (African oil palm). RNAcentral describes it as "long non-coding RNA (EGUI_LNC061135)". Lineage: Eukaryota; Viridiplantae; Streptophyta; Magnoliopsida; Arecales; Arecaceae. The record is from RNAcentral.